RNAcentral lists this non-coding RNA (117 nucleotides) under Nomascus leucogenys (northern white-cheeked gibbon). The record is from Rfam by way of RNAcentral. Lineage: Eukaryota; Metazoa; Chordata; Mammalia; Primates; Hylobatidae.
GCUGGGCGUGGUGGCUCAUGCCUGUAAUCCCAGCACUUUGGGAGGCUGAGAUGGGAGGAUCACUUGAGGUCAGGAGUUUGAGACCAGCCUGACCAACAUGGUGAAACCCCAUUUCUA